AUUGAACGCUGGCGGCAGGCCUAACACAUGCAAGUCGAGCGGAGCGGCGGAGGGGGAAGUGAUACUUAGGAAUCUGCCUGCUAGUGGGGGAUAACGUCCGGAAACGGGCGCUAAUACCGCAUACUCUCCGUCUAGCCUAGGUCGCAUUAGCUAGUGGGUGGGUUAACGGCCUAACAAGGCGACGGUCCGUAACUGGGCUGAGAGGAUGAUCAGUCACACUGGAACUGAGACACGGUCCAGAAUCCUACGGGAGGCAGCAGUGGGGAAUAUUGGACAAUGGGCGAAAGCCUGAGACAGCCAUUCCGCGUGUGUGAAGAAGGUCUUCGGAUGGUAAAGCACGUUAAGUGGGGAGGCGUUACCAACAGAAUAAGCACCGGCUAACUUCGUGCCAGCAGUCGCGGUAAUAC
RNAcentral lists this ribosomal RNA (407 nucleotides) under uncultured bacterium. Its description in RNAcentral is "partial 16S ribosomal RNA". It matches the Rfam family "Bacterial small subunit ribosomal RNA", at positions 30 to 526 of the family's 1533-position model. The record is from RNAcentral.